Non-coding RNA from Salmo salar (Atlantic salmon), 54 nucleotides. Lineage: Eukaryota; Metazoa; Chordata; Actinopteri; Salmoniformes; Salmonidae. The record is from Rfam.
CGUACUCACUACUGUAAGUCGCUCUGGAUAAGGGCGUGUGCUAAAUGAAUUAAA